UGGGUUGUCGAUAUUCGCAGG
Molecule: non-coding RNA, 21 nt
Filed under: Caenorhabditis elegans
Lineage: Eukaryota; Metazoa; Nematoda; Chromadorea; Rhabditida; Rhabditidae
Source: RNAcentral